UCAGGACGAACGCUGGCGGCGUGCUUAACACAUGCAAGUCGAGCGGUAAGGCCCUUCGGGGUACACGAGCGGCGAACGGGUGAGUAACACGUGGGUGACCUGCCCUCCACUUCGGGAUAAGCCUGGGAAACCGGGUCUAAUACCGGAUAGGACCAAUCGAUGCAUGUUGGUUGGUGGAAAGUUUUUUCGGUGGGGGAUGGGCCCGCGGUCUAUCAGCUUGUUGGUGGGGUGAUGGCCUACCAAGGCGACGACGGAUAGCCGGCCUGAGAGGGUGAUCGGCCACACUGGGACUGAGACACGGCCCAGACUCCUACGGGAGGCAGCAGUGGGGAAUCUUGCGCAAUGGGCGGAAGCCUGACGCAGCAACGCCGCGUGGGGGAUGACGGCCUUCGGGUUGUAAACCUCUUUCGCGAUCGACGAAGGCCCACUUGUUGUGGGUUGACGGUAGGUCGAGAAGAAGCACCGGCCAACUACGUGCCAGCAGCCGCGGUAAUACGUAGGGUGCGAGCGUUGUCCGGAAUUAUUGGGCGUAAAGAGCUCGUAGGCGGUGUGUCGCGUCGGCCGUGAAAACCUGGGGCUCAACUCUGGGCGUGCGGUCGAUACGGGCAUCACUUGAGUUCGGCAGGGGAGACUGGAAUUCCUGGUGUAGCGGUGAAAUGCGCAGAUAUCAGGAGGAACACCGGUGGCGAAGGCGGGUCUCUGGGCCGAUACUGAC
Molecule: ribosomal RNA, 715 nt
Filed under: Actinomycetospora sp. L1879
Lineage: Bacteria; Bacillati; Actinomycetota; Actinomycetes; Pseudonocardiales; Pseudonocardiaceae
Description: bacterial SSU rRNA
Rfam family: Bacterial small subunit ribosomal RNA
Source: RNAcentral